Molecule: ribosomal RNA, 119 nt
Filed under: Pteropus alecto (black flying fox)
Lineage: Eukaryota; Metazoa; Chordata; Mammalia; Chiroptera; Pteropodidae
Source: RNAcentral
GUCUACAGCCAUGCCACCCUGAAUGUGCCUAAUCCCAUCGGAUCUCGGAAGCUAAGCAGGGUCAGGCCUGGUUAGUACUUGGAUGGGAGACCACCUAGGAAGACCAGGUGCUGUAGGCG